CCCAUAACUCAGGGAUAGCCUUUCGAAAGAAAGAUUAAUACCUGAUAGUACUUUUUCAAGGCAUCUUGAAAAGUUAAAGAUUUAUUGGUUAUGGAUGGGGAUGCGUUCCAGUUAGAUAGUUGGUGAGGUAACGGCUCACCAAGUCUUCGAUGGAUAGGGGUUCUGAGAGGAAGGUCCCCCACAUUGGUACUGAGACACGGACCAAACUCCUACGGGAGGCAGCAGUGAGGAAUAUUGGUCAAUGGGCGAGAGCCUGAACCAGCCAAGUAGCGUGAAGGAAUGAAGGUCCUAUGGAUUGUAAACUUCUUUUAUAGUAGAAUAAAGUGAUCCACGUGUGGAUUUUUGUAUGUAUACUAUGAAUAAGGAUCGGCUAACUCCGUGCCAGCCGCCGC
RNAcentral lists this ribosomal RNA (392 nucleotides) under uncultured bacterium. RNAcentral describes it as "bacterial SSU rRNA". It matches the Rfam family "Bacterial small subunit ribosomal RNA", at positions 129 to 518 of the family's 1533-position model. The record is from RNAcentral.